RNAcentral lists this transfer RNA (71 nucleotides) under Providencia rettgeri. Its description in RNAcentral is "tRNA-Cys". It matches the Rfam family "tRNA". Rfam says of the family: Transfer RNA (tRNA) molecules are approximately 80 nucleotides in length. The record is from RNAcentral. Lineage: Bacteria; Pseudomonadati; Pseudomonadota; Gammaproteobacteria; Enterobacterales; Morganellaceae.
GGCGCGUUAGCAAAGCGUUAUGCACCGGAUUGCAAAUCCGUAGCUCGGUUCGACUCCGGGACGCGCCUCCA